RNAcentral lists this ribosomal RNA (1542 nucleotides) under Escherichia coli. RNAcentral's name for it is "bacterial SSU rRNA". It matches the Rfam family "Bacterial small subunit ribosomal RNA". The record is from RNAcentral. Lineage: Bacteria; Pseudomonadati; Pseudomonadota; Gammaproteobacteria; Enterobacterales; Enterobacteriaceae.
AAAUUGAAGAGUUUGAUCAUGGCUCAGAUUGAACGCUGGCGGCAGGCCUAACACAUGCAAGUCGAACGGUAACAGGAAGAAGCUUGCUGCUUCGCUGACGAGUGGCGGACGGGUGAGUAAUGUCUGGGAAACUGCCUGAUGGAGGGGGAUAACUACUGGAAACGGUAGCUAAUACCGCAUAACGUCGCAAGACCAAAGAGGGGGACCUUCGGGCCUCUUGCCAUCGGAUGUGCCCAGAUGGGAUUAGCUUGUUGGUGGGGUAACGGCUCACCAAGGCGACGAUCCCUAGCUGGUCUGAGAGGAUGACCAGCCACACUGGAACUGAGACACGGUCCAGACUCCUACGGGAGGCAGCAGUGGGGAAUAUUGCACAAUGGGCGCAAGCCUGAUGCAGCCAUGCCGCGUGUAUGAAGAAGGCCUUCGGGUUGUAAAGUACUUUCAGCGGGGAGGAAGGGAGUAAAGUUAAUACCUUUGCUCAUUGACGUUACCCGCAGAAGAAGCACCGGCUAACUCCGUGCCAGCAGCCGCGGUAAUACGGAGGGUGCAAGCGUUAAUCGGAAUUACUGGGCGUAAAGCGCACGCAGGCGGUUUGUUAAGUCAGAUGUGAAAUCCCCGGGCUCAACCUGGGAACUGCAUCUGAUACUGGCAAGCUUGAGUCUCGUAGAGGGGGGUAGAAUUCCAGGUGUAGCGGUGAAAUGCGUAGAGAUCUGGAGGAAUACCGGUGGCGAAGGCGGCCCCCUGGACGAAGACUGACGCUCAGGUGCGAAAGCGUGGGGAGCAAACAGGAUUAGAUACCCUGGUAGUCCACGCCGUAAACGAUGUCGACUUGGAGGUUGUGCCCUUGAGGCGUGGCUUCCGGAGCUAACGCGUUAAGUCGACCGCCUGGGGAGUACGGCCGCAAGGUUAAAACUCAAAUGAAUUGACGGGGGCCCGCACAAGCGGUGGAGCAUGUGGUUUAAUUCGAUGCAACGCGAAGAACCUUACCUGGUCUUGACAUCCACAGAACUUUCCAGAGAUGGAUUGGUGCCUUCGGGAACUGUGAGACAGGUGCUGCAUGGCUGUCGUCAGCUCGUGUUGUGAAAUGUUGGGUUAAGUCCCGCAACGAGCGCAACCCUUAUCCUUUGUUGCCAGCGGUCCGGCCGGGAACUCAAAGGAGACUGCCAGUGAUAAACUGGAGGAAGGUGGGGAUGACGUCAAGUCAUCAUGGCCCUUACGACCAGGGCUACACACGUGCUACAAUGGCGCAUACAAAGAGAAGCGACCUCGCGAGAGCAAGCGGACCUCAUAAAGUGCGUCGUAGUCCGGAUUGGAGUCUGCAACUCGACUCCAUGAAGUCGGAAUCGCUAGUAAUCGUGGAUCAGAAUGCCACGGUGAAUACGUUCCCGGGCCUUGUACACACCGCCCGUCACACCAUGGGAGUGGGUUGCAAAAGAAGUAGGUAGCUUAACCUUCGGGAGGGCGCUUACCACUUUGUGAUUCAUGACUGGGGUGAAGUCGUAACAAGGUAACCGUAGGGGAACCUGCGGUUGGAUCACCUCCUUA